UGGGGAAUAUUGCACAAUGGGCGCAAGCCUGAUGCAGCCAUGCCGCGUGUAUGAAGAAGGCCUUCGGGUUGUAAAGUACUUUCAGCGGGGAGGAAGGUGUUGAGGUUAAUAACCUCAGCAAUUGACGUUACCCGCAGAAGAAGCACCGGCUAACUCCGUGCCAGCAGCCGCGGUAAUACGGAGGGUGCAAGCGUUAAUCGGAAUUACUGGGCGUAAAGCGCACGCAGGCGGUCUGUCAAGUCGGAUGUGAAAUCCCCGGGCUCAACCUGGGAACUGCAUUCGAAACUGGCAGGCUAGGGUCUUGUAGAGGGGGGUAGAAUUCCAGGUGUAGCGGUGAAAUGCGUAGAGAUCUGGAGGAAUACCGGUGGCGAAGGCGGCCCCCUGGACAAAGACUGACGCUCAGGUGCGAAAGCGUGGGGAGCAAACA
This 427-nucleotide ribosomal RNA is filed under the name uncultured bacterium. RNAcentral describes it as "partial 16S ribosomal RNA". It matches the Rfam family "Bacterial small subunit ribosomal RNA", at positions 355 to 774 of the family's 1533-position model. The record is from RNAcentral.